UGUGGGAGCGAGCUUGCUCGCGAUGGCGUCGGCUCAGCAGUAUUGAUGGUGACUGACACACUGCUAUCGCGAGCAAGCUCGCUCCCACA
Molecule: unclassified non-coding RNA, 89 nt
Filed under: Pseudomonas kilonensis
Lineage: Bacteria; Pseudomonadati; Pseudomonadota; Gammaproteobacteria; Pseudomonadales; Pseudomonadaceae
Source: RNAcentral